Molecule: long non-coding RNA, 228 nt
Filed under: Elaeis guineensis (African oil palm)
Lineage: Eukaryota; Viridiplantae; Streptophyta; Magnoliopsida; Arecales; Arecaceae
Description: long non-coding RNA (EGUI_LNC012274)
Source: RNAcentral
GGGGGCUCCGGGAGACGGUCGGGGGGAGACGAUCGGGUCUUGCAGAGACAUCCGAGGCCUCAGGGAGGCAACGGGAGGAGGUGGAUCGGGGGCUCCAAGAGGCAGUCAGGGGGAGAUGGUCGUGGGCUCGAGGAGGUGGCUGGGGGCUCGGGGAGGCCGUCGGAGGCUUAGAGAGGUGGCCGAGGGAUCAGAGAAGCUGGAUUCGACGGUGCGGCAGGAGAAAAUAGG